AACCCUGACGCAGCAACGCCGCGUGGGUGAUGAAGGUCUUCGGAUUGUAAAGCCCUGUUUUCUGGGACGAUAAUGACGGUACUAGAGGAGGAAGCCACGGCUAACUACGUGCCAGCAGCCGCGGUAAUACGUAGGUGGCGAGCGUUGUCCGGAUUUACUGGGCGUAAAGGGUGCGUAGGCGGAUGUUUAAGUGGGAUGUGAAAUCCCCGGGCUUAACCUGGGGGCUGCAUUCCAAACUGGAUAUCUAGAGUGCAGGAGAGGAAAGCGGAAUUCCUAGUGUAGCGGUGAAAUGCGUAGAGAUUAGGAAGAACACCAGUGGCGAAGGCGGCUUUCUGGACUGUAACUGACGCUGAGGCACGAAAGCGUGGGUAGCAAACAGGAUUAGAUACCCUGGUAGUCCACGCCGUAAACGAUGGAUACUAGGUGUAGGGGGUAUCAACUCCCCCUGUGCCGCAGUUAACACAAUAAGUAUCCCGCCUGGGGAGUACGGUCGCAAGAUUAAAACUCAAAGGAAUUGACGGGGGCCCGCACAAGCAGCGGAGCAUGUGGUUUAAUUCGAAGCAACGCGAAGAACCUUACCUGGACUUGACAUCCCUUGCAUAGCCUAGAGAUAGGUGAAGCCCUUCGGGGCAAGGAGACAGGUGGUGCAUGGUUGUC
This 657-nucleotide ribosomal RNA is filed under the name Clostridium botulinum. RNAcentral's name for it is "bacterial SSU rRNA". It matches the Rfam family "Bacterial small subunit ribosomal RNA", at positions 379 to 1053 of the family's 1533-position model. Lineage: Bacteria; Bacillati; Bacillota; Clostridia; Eubacteriales; Clostridiaceae. The record is from RNAcentral.